Molecule: ribosomal RNA, 1694 nt
Filed under: Psychrobacter immobilis
Lineage: Bacteria; Pseudomonadati; Pseudomonadota; Gammaproteobacteria; Moraxellales; Moraxellaceae
Description: bacterial SSU rRNA
Rfam family: Bacterial small subunit ribosomal RNA
Source: RNAcentral
ACUCCUUUUCGGAGUUCAUUCUAACUAUAAAAAUUAUCAUUUAAGACAGCAGAAAAACUCAAAGUUAAUUCAUUACGAACAUAAUUUUUAGCGAUUUUGCCAGAUUAGAUGAGCCAAGUUUAGAAGCUUCUUUAAAGAGCUUCAUAGCAAGAUUAAACUGAAGAGUUUGAUCAUGGCUCAGAUUGAACGCUGGCGGCAGGCUUAACACAUGCAAGUCGAGCGGUAACAGGAGAAGCUUGCUUCUCGCUGACGAGCGGCGGACGGGUGAGUAAUACUUAGGAAUCUACCUAGUAGUGGGGGAUAGCACGGGGAAACUCGUAUUAAUACCGCAUACGACCUACGGGAGAAAGGGGGCAGUUUACUGCUCUCGCUAUUAGAUGAGCCUAAGUCGGAUUAGCUAGAUGGUGGGGUAAAGGCCUACCAUGGCGACGAUCUGUAGCUGGUCUGAGAGGAUGAUCAGCCACACCGGGACUGAGACACGGCCCGGACUCCUACGGGAGGCAGCAGUGGGGAAUAUUGGACAAUGGGGGAAACCCUGAUCCAGCCAUGCCGCGUGUGUGAAGAAGGCCUUUUGGUUGUAAAGCACUUUAAGCAGUGAAGAAGACUCCAUGGUUAAUACCCAUGGACGAUGACAUUAGCUGCAGAAUAAGCACCGGCUAACUCUGUGCCAGCAGCCGCGGUAAUACAGAGGGUGCAAGCGUUAAUCGGAAUUACUGGGCGUAAAGGGAGCGUAGGUGGCUCUAUAAGUCAGAUGUGAAAUCCCCGGGCUUAACCUGGGAACUGCAUCUGAAACUGUAGAGCUAGAGUAUGUGAGAGGAAGGUAGAAUUCCAGGUGUAGCGGUGAAAUGCGUAGAGAUCUGGAGGAAUACCGAUGGCGAAGGCAGCCUUCUGGCAUAAUACUGACACUGAGGCUCGAAAGCGUGGGUAGCAAACAGGAUUAGAUACCCUGGUAGUCCACGCCGUAAACGAUGUCUACUAGUCGUUGGGUCCCUUGAGGACUUAGUGACGCAGCUAACGCAAUAAGUAGACCGCCUGGGGAGUACGGCCGCAAGGUUAAAACUCAAAUGAAUUGACGGGGGCCCGCACAAGCGGUGGAGCAUGUGGUUUAAUUCGAUGCAACGCGAAGAACCUUACCUGGUCUUGACAUAUCUAGAAUCCUGCAGAGAUGCGGGAGUGCCUUCGGGAAUUAGAAUACAGGUGCUGCAUGGCUGUCGUCAGCUCGUGUCGUGAGAUGUUGGGUUAAGUCCCGCAACGAGCGCAACCCUUGUCCUUAGUUACCAGCGGGUUAAGCCGGGAACUCUAAGGAUACUGCCAGUGACAAACUGGAGGAAGGCGGGGACGACGUCAAGUCAUCAUGGCCCUUACGACCAGGGCUACACACGUGCUACAAUGGUAGGUACAGAGGGCAGCUACACAGCGAUGUGAUGCGAAUCUCAAAAAGCCUAUCGUAGUCCAGAUUGGAGUCUGCAACUCGACUCCAUGAAGUAGGAAUCGCUAGUAAUCGCGGAUCAGAAUGCCGCGGUGAAUACGUUCCCGGGCCUUGUACACACCGCCCGUCACACCAUGGGAGUUGAUUGCACCAGAAGUGGAUAGCUUAACCUUCGGGGGAGCGUUCACCACGGUGUGGUUGAUGACUGGGGUGAAGUCGUAACAAGGUAGCCGUAGGGGAACCUGCGGCUGGAUCACCUCCUUAU